This 445-nucleotide ribosomal RNA is filed under the name uncultured bacterium. RNAcentral's name for it is "partial 16S ribosomal RNA". It matches the Rfam family "Bacterial small subunit ribosomal RNA", at positions 354 to 796 of the family's 1533-position model. The record is from RNAcentral.
GUGAGGAAUAUUGGUCAAUGGGCGGGAGCCUGAACCAGCCAAGUCGCGUGAAGGAAGAAGGAUCUAUGGUUCGUAAACUUCUUUUGCAGGGGAAUAAAGUGCAGGACGUGUCCUGUUUUGUAUGUACCCUGAGAAUAAGGAUCGGCUAACUCCGUGCCAGCAGCCGCGGUAAUACGGAGGAUCCGAGCGUUAUCCGGAUUUAUUGGGUUUAAAGGGUGCGUAGGUGGUUUGAUAAGUCAGCGGUGAAAGUUUGCAGCUUAACUGUAAAGAUGCCGUUGAAACUGUCGGACUUGAGUGUAAAUGAGGUAGGCGGAAUGCGUGGUGUAGCGGUGAAAUGCAUAGAUAUCACGCAGAACUCCGAUUGCGAAGGCAGCUUACUAAGCUACAACUGACACUGAAGCACGAAAGCGUGGGGAUCAAACAGGAUUAGAAACCCUGGUAGUCC